AACGAACGCUGGCGGCAUGCCUUAUACAUGCAAGUCGAACGAGAAAGUCACUUCGGUGGCGAGUAGAGUGGCGCACGGGUGAGUAACGCGUAGAUAAUCUACCCUUCAGUCUGGGACAACUCUUGGAAACGGGAGCUAAUACCGGAUAAAACCUUCGGGUUGAAAGAUUUAUCGCUGGGGGAUGAGUCUGCGUACCAUUAGCUUGUUGGUGGGGUAAUGGCCUACCAAGGCGACGAUGGUUAGCGGGUCUGAGAGGACGAUCCGCCACACNGGAACUGAGACACGGUCCAGACUCCUACGGGAGGCAGCAGUAGGGAAUAUUGCGCAAUGGGGGCAACCCCUGAGCGCAGCAAUGCCGCGUGAGUGAAGAAGGCCUUCGGGUCCGUAAAGCUCUUUUAUGGGGGAAGAUGAUGACCG
This 417-nucleotide ribosomal RNA is filed under the name uncultured SAR276 cluster bacterium. Its description in RNAcentral is "bacterial SSU rRNA". It matches the Rfam family "Bacterial small subunit ribosomal RNA", at positions 29 to 457 of the family's 1533-position model. Lineage: Bacteria; Deltaproteobacteria. The record is from RNAcentral.